This 253-nucleotide ribosomal RNA is filed under the name uncultured bacterium. RNAcentral's name for it is "partial 16S ribosomal RNA". It matches the Rfam family "Bacterial small subunit ribosomal RNA", at positions 524 to 776 of the family's 1533-position model. The record is from RNAcentral.
UACGUAGGGCGCAAGCGUUGUCCGGAAUUAUUGGGCGUAAAGAGCUCGUAGGCGGUUUGUCGCGUCUGUCGUGAAAGCUUGGGGCUUAACCCUAAGUCUGCGGUGGAUACGGGCAGGCUAGAGGCAGGUAGGGGAGAACGGAAUUCCCGGUGUAGCGGUGAAAUGCGCAGAUAUCGGGAGGAACACCGGUGGCGAAGGCGGCCCUCUGGACGGUGACUGACGCUGAGACGCGAAAGCGUGGGUAGCAAACAGG